Molecule: ribosomal RNA, 528 nt
Filed under: uncultured bacterium
Lineage: Bacteria
Description: bacterial SSU rRNA
Rfam family: Bacterial small subunit ribosomal RNA
Source: RNAcentral
AGUCGAACGGGAAGCCGGUGCUUGCACCGGUGGAGAGUGGCGAACGGCUGAGUAACACGUAGGAACCUACCCCUCGGACUGGGAUAACGGGCCAAAAGGCCCGCUAAUACCGGAUAUAUUCUUCGGAAGGAAAUGGUCCGCCGCCGGGGGAAGGGCCUGCGGCGCAUUAGCUUGAUGGUGGGGUAACGGCCUACCAUGGCAAUGAUGCGUAGCUGGUCUGAGAGGACGAUCAGCCAGACUGGGACUGCGACACGGCCCAGACUCCUACGGGAGGCAGCAGUUCAGAAUCUUGCCCAAUGGACGAAAGUCUGAGGCAGCCAUGCCGCGUGUGCGAAGAAGGCCCUCGGGUCGUAAAGCACUGUCAGGAGGGACGAUAAUGACGGUACCUCCAGAGGAAGCCACGGCUAAUUCCGUGCCAGCAGCCGCGGUAAUACGGAAGUGGCGAGCGUUAUCCGGAAUCACUGGGCGUAAAGCGUUCGUAGGCGGCGUAGUAAGUCGGCUUUGAAAGCCCGGGGCUCAACUCCGGAA